Drosophila virilis is the source of this 237-nucleotide non-coding RNA. Lineage: Eukaryota; Metazoa; Arthropoda; Insecta; Diptera; Drosophilidae. The record is from RefSeq and is a predicted model, not a curated record.
UAAUUGCAUAGGCGGCGAUCAUAAGAAAGGAACUCCUGACUUGCUUAAGCAAGGUGGCUCUAAAACCGGCUCUAUGCAUAAAAGUGCAAGUGACGUUCUCUUCUAGUUUGUGUUCGUUUCAACUGUCUUGUGCUCGUCUUAUAUUUAUAUGUUUCUAACAAAGAUGCAAUAGAGACACAUCCGAAUGAUCAUAGCAAAUGCCAAUUAACUGCAACUGAAGUGGAGGUAUACACUAUG